Molecule: non-coding RNA, 76 nt
Organism: Phthorimaea operculella (potato tuberworm)
Lineage: Eukaryota; Metazoa; Arthropoda; Insecta; Lepidoptera; Gelechiidae
Source: the annotation of a GenBank genome assembly
ACUGCGGUAGCCUAGUUGAUAGUGGCGUCGGCAGUGCAGAUGCCUAAAGUCGAAGGUUCAAUUCCUACCCGCGAUG